GUAACAAGGUUUCCGUAGGUGAACCUGCGGAAGGAUCAUUACCGAGUGAGGGCCCUCUGGGUCCAACCUCCCACCCGUGUUUAUUUACCUUGUUGCUUCGGCGAGCCUGCCUUUUGGCUGCCGGGGGACGUCAGUCCCCGGGUCCGUGCUCGCCGGAGACACCUUAGAACUCUGUCUGAAGAUUGUAGUCUGAGAUUAAAUAUAAAUUAUUUAAAACUUUCAACAACGGAUCUCUUGGUUCCGGCAUCGAUGAAGAACGCAGCGAAAUGCGAUACGUAAUGUGAAUUGCAGAAUUCAGUGAAUCAUCGAGUCUUUGAACGCACAUUGCGCCCUCUGGUAUUCCGGAGGGCAUGCCUGUCCGAGCGUCAUUGCUGCCCUCAAGCACGGCUUGUGUGUUGGGCCCCGUCCUCCUUCCGGGGGACGGGUCCGAAAGGCAGCGGCGGCACCGCGUCCGGUCCUCAAGCGUAUGGGGCUUUGUCACUCGCUUUGUAGGCCUGGCCGGCGCUUGCCGAUCAACCAAACUUUUUAUCAGGUUGACCUCGGAUCAGGUAGGGAUACCCGCUGAACCUAAGCAUAUCA
This 579-nucleotide unclassified non-coding RNA is filed under the name Penicillium bialowiezense. RNAcentral describes it as "sequence contains 18S rRNA gene, ITS1, 5.8S rRNA gene, ITS2, 28S rRNA gene". The stretch from base 215 to 368 matches the Rfam family "5.8S ribosomal RNA". Lineage: Eukaryota; Fungi; Ascomycota; Eurotiomycetes; Eurotiales; Aspergillaceae. The record is from RNAcentral.